Molecule: ribosomal RNA, 428 nt
Filed under: uncultured bacterium
Lineage: Bacteria
Description: bacterial SSU rRNA
Rfam family: Bacterial small subunit ribosomal RNA
Source: RNAcentral
UGGGGAAUAUUGCGCAAUGGGCGAAAGCCUGACGCAGCGACGCCGCGUGGGUGAUGAAGGCCUUCGGGUCGUAAAGCCCUGUCGGGAGGGACGAAACCUCGGUGACCUAAUACGUCACCGACCUGACGGUACCUCUUAAGGAAGCACCGGCUAACUCCGUGCCAGCAGCCGCGGUAAUACGGAGGGUGCGAGCGUUGUUCGGAAUCACUGGGCGUAAAGCGUGCGCAGGCGGUCUUGCAAGACAGUGGUGAAAUCCCCGGGCUCAACCUGGGAACUGCCAUUGUGACUGCAAGGCUGGAGUACGGCAGAGGGGGAUGGAAUUCCGCGUGUAGCAGUGAAACGCGUAGAUAUGCGGAGGAACACCGAUGGCGAAGGCAGUCCCCUGGGCCUGUACUGACGCUCAUGCACGAAAGCGUGGGGAGCAAACA